CGCGUAGGCGGAUGUUUAAGUCAGAGGUGAAAGCCCAGGGCUCAACCUUGGAACUGCCUUUGAUACUGGACAUCUUGAGUAUGGGAGAGGUGAGUGGAACUCCGAGUGUAGAGGUGAAAUUCGUAGAUAUUCGGAAGAACACCAGUGGCGAAGGCGACUCACUGGCCCAUUACUGACGCUGAGGCGCGAAAGCGUGGGGAGCAAACAGGAUUAGAUACCCUGGUAGUCCACGCUGUAAACGAUGAGUGCUAGUUGUCGGCAUGCAUGCAUGUCGGUGACGCAGCUAACGCAUUAAGCACUCCGCCUGGGGAGUACGGUCGCAAGAUUAAA
Molecule: ribosomal RNA, 330 nt
Filed under: uncultured bacterium
Lineage: Bacteria
Description: bacterial SSU rRNA
Rfam family: Bacterial small subunit ribosomal RNA
Source: RNAcentral